UACGUAGGGUGCAAGCGUUGUCCGGAAUUAUUGGGCGUAAAGAGCUCGUAGGCGGUCUGUCGCGUCUGCUGUGAAAACUCGGGGCUUAACCCCGGGCCUGCAGUGGGUACGGGCAGACUAGAGUGCGGUAGGGGAGACUGGAAUUCCUGGUGUAGCGGUGAAAUGCGCAGAUAUCAGGAGGAACACCGGUGGCGAAGGCGGGUCUCUGGGCCGUAACUGACGCUGAGGCGCGAAAGCGUGGGGAGCGAACAGG
RNAcentral lists this ribosomal RNA (253 nucleotides) under uncultured bacterium. RNAcentral describes it as "partial 16S ribosomal RNA". It matches the Rfam family "Bacterial small subunit ribosomal RNA", at positions 524 to 776 of the family's 1533-position model. The record is from RNAcentral.